This 323-nucleotide RNase P RNA is filed under the name uncultured Eubacterium sp. Its description in RNAcentral is "Bacterial RNase P class A". It matches the Rfam family "Bacterial RNase P class A". From Rfam's summary of the family: Ribonuclease P (RNase P) is a ubiquitous endoribonuclease, found in archaea, bacteria and eukarya as well as chloroplasts and mitochondria. Its best characterised activity is the generation of mature 5'-ends of tRNAs by cleaving the 5'-leader elements of precursor-tRNAs. Lineage: Bacteria; Bacillati; Bacillota; Clostridia; Eubacteriales; Eubacteriaceae. The record is from RNAcentral.
GAGUUGGCUUGGCAGUUGCGUAUUGCUUUGCAAUAUGAGGAAAGUCCGAGCAGCACAGAGCAGGAUGACGGCUAACGGCCGCCGAGGGUGACCUUAGGGAAAGUGCAACAGAAAUAUACCGCCUCUUAUGAGGUAAGGGUGGAAAGGCGAGGUAAGAGCUCACCGAGAGAGUGGAGACAUUCUCUGCCAUGUAAACCCCAUCCGCUGCAACAUCGACUAAAGGGUUGUUUGCUCGACACAUAACUUUGAAGGAUGGCUGGAGCGCUGGAGCAAUUCAGCGUCGAGAUAGAUAAUUGCCCAUGACAGAACUCGGCUUACUGCCA